GACAGCGUGUCCGAGUGGUUAAGGAAGGAGGUGGACUAGAAAUCCACUGGGCUCUGCCCGCGCAGGUUCGAAUCCUGCCGCUGUCG
This is a non-coding RNA of Perkinsus marinus ATCC 50983, 86 nucleotides long. NCBI's taxonomy places the organism in Eukaryota, Perkinsozoa, Perkinsida, Perkinsidae. The record is from Rfam.